AUGAAACUUGGUCUUUUUUGCUUUCAUGAGUGUCCAGCAGCCACUGGUCUUAAUUGUGAAAAUGUGCUGGUCGUGCUUCCCAAAAGUAACAAAACAAUCACAGAAAUCUGUAACUCGGGGGCCGCGGCUCCCGGCAGCUCUCCUGGCUCGGGGCGUCCGGUCCCGAGCGGGCUAGGGCUGGGAAGCCCGGGGUCUGCGUCCCCCAGGAACCAUCGAGGUUUAACCACUUGCGUCUGGAAGAAUUAUGCCAAAUCUCUGUGUUGUCGCUCUGACCCGACCCUCUUUGCUCCCGCUUCAGACGUCCUGUUAGUCACUGCGCUGUCGGGGCUCAGCCUUUGCGCCCCUGCCCCCGUCCUUUACUUCCCUGUACCGUGCGCAGGAUGGAAGUGCUCCCCGCUUCCUGGCACAUCGCGAACGUCCUGGUGGGACCCGGGACCGUUUCCUCUGUCUCCUCCGACUCCGAGGCCCCGAGCACUGGGACAGGUGGCGUCCCGAGCCCUCUGCACCCGCGGCGGGAGCCGGGCGACCCAAGAGCGUCUGCAGAGUGCGGGGCUCCUGCGGGAACAGCGCGCGCGUCCCCGGGAGACUGUCCCACCCGUCCUGGUGCGACCCCCACCGCCCCCCACCCCCCAUGCCCCUGGAGGCCCCGGCUUGUCUGUGCUUAGAAUUUCCCAUCCCCGAGUCCACUGUGGUCAUUAGCCGUGGUUUUUUAUACAGGUUGGGUCCAAAUUAGAAUUGAUCUUUGUUUCUACUCUCCGUAGUCUAGUAACGUGCAAAGUAAUAAUUAUAUAUAUUUUAAGACGAGAGAUGUAUUAUUGGUCCUAAAUCGCCUGCUUGUGACCAGAGUACAGAUUUCAAUAGUUUUUUCGAAGCUUCCGUAGACCUCAGAAGAUGAAUUACAAGAUAACCUUUUUUUAAAACCAUUUUCAGAUCAUUGCCAAGUCCCGCUAAGGUAAUCGUGUCGACCUGCAUUAUUUUUGUAAUAUAUGUCAGCGAUGGUAAAAAUGAUGCUGUGUCGUCUUGUUCUUACACGUGUCGCAACCAAUUUUUAAACCGGGCGUGGUUUGGUGUCCCUGCCCCGAUGAGUAAGCGGAGGGUACGUCUCGGGUUCUGCCGGAGGCCCUGCCUGCACCGUGACACCCGCGAGUCCCCGCUGCAGGUGCAGGGUCCCGUCCCAGCUGCGCCAUCCAGGAGUCGUGCUGGGGGUGGAGGGCAGGGUGACUCCUUGCUUCUGGGGAGGAGGCGGGGGGCGGGGGCCAGGCCAGGGCCCUGGCAUUACUGGGUGUCCCCAGGCCGAUCCCGACUGCCCUCCUUGCUUGACCUCACGUUCACCCUCAGUUGAAACGGACAGUAAAGGAGGUGACAGUUUUCUGGCCGCUGGUCCCGCCCUCUCCUUACCCUCCUGCCCUUUGGUGGGACCCCCUGCCUGGGGCUUCGGGUCCGUAUCUCCCUGAACCAGAGGCACCCUGGGAGCACUCUGUGUCCUGGCACCAGAAGAGCCGGGGUCCCUGUCUUCUCUGCGCCCACCUGGUGGCUCGGGCGUCCCUCUCACAUGUCUCCCUGCACGACGGUCUCAUCAGGAGACCCACCCCAGCACCUGCCUGAGACAGAAGUCAGGGAGGGACGCCCAAGUGGGCAGAGGGGAUCACCAGGAUGCUCUGAGUGUGGCCCUCGCUGACCGUGUCUUGGGGGGAGGCAUGUGGCCCCCAGACUGCUGAGCCCACCCGAGUUCCCUCCACUCCACCUCCCGCCGCUGGGCUGUGGGGGCCUCCCUUCCCACCCCGUCACCCCACGCAGCUCUUGGCUCAGACGCUUCCUGUGGAGCCGGGUUCUGUGUGUUCACGGAGGGGGCACGUCAGGUGUAUGUGCCGGGUGGGCACUCGGAAGGCCCCCCCAUCCCUGGGCGGGCAGCUGUGGGAUGCCAGGUCCGCUGCCCCAAGCCAGGAAGCCUCGCACUCGAGCCGGUGGGUCUGGAGGGAUGAGACUCUGCCCCCCCAGGAGGACGUCCUACUUCAUUUCUGCCCCGGGGGCGCUGGUCAGGCUGGACCCUCGCAGCACAGAGACCAAGCACCUGCCCACGUGUGGCCACAGAGCUGAUGUGUGCUCGUGUGUGGGUGUGUGCACGCGGUGGUGGGAGGGGCUUCGCCGGUGAGAAGGGUCCUGCCCCCCCUGUGGGUUUGGGCCCCGCUGUGGUGGCCCAGUCCAGCCGUGCACUCGCAGCCUCGNGUGCACGCGGUGGUGGGAGGGGCUUCGCCGGUGAGAAGGGUCCUGCCCCCCCUGCGGGUUUGGGGCCCCACUGUGGUGGCCCAGUCCAGCCGUGCACUCGCAGCCUCAGAGCUUGCACACAUCACACGGGGCGCUCCCGUGGUGCGCGGGGCCUUGGGGCCGUGCUGGCAUCAGGGCUGGCCCCGGGCUGGCCCGGAUUCAAAUCCCGGCCUUCUAGUGCGCACGUCUCCCCAUGCCCUUCGCAGGUUCCUCUCGGUGCAAACCGUUUUCUGUUCUGUUGCGUGAAGAUGCUGAUUAAAACAGUGUCUUGGGCAGCCCGGGGGGGCUCAGCGGUUUAGAGCCGCCUGCAGCCCGGGGUGUGAUCCUAGAGACCCGGGGUCAAGUCCCACGUCGGGCUCCCUGCAUGGGGCCUGCUUCUCCCUCUGCCUNCCUGCAGCCCGAGGUGUGAUCCUAGAGACCCGGGGUCAAGUCCCACGUGGGGCUCCCUGCAUGGGGCCUGCUUCUCCCUCUGCCUGUGUCUCUGCCUCUUUCUCCCUCUCUCUCUCUGUGUGUGUAUCUAUGAAUAAAUAAAUCUUUAAAAAAAAAUAAAAGUGUCUC
This 2823-nucleotide long non-coding RNA is filed under the name Vulpes vulpes (red fox). RNAcentral's name for it is "lncRNA (ENSVVUG00000024506.1)". The record is from RNAcentral. Lineage: Eukaryota; Metazoa; Chordata; Mammalia; Carnivora; Canidae.